CGCCCUUAGAGUUGUAUCCUGGCUCAGGAUGAACGCUGGCGGUAUGCUUUACACAUGCAAGUCGUACGAGAGUUUUUAACUCAAGUGGCGGACGGGUGAGUAACACGUAAGAAUUUGCCUUUAGGAGGGGGACAACAACUGGAAACGGUUGCUAAUACCCCAUAUGCUUUCGAGUGAAAUGGUUUUUCCGCCUAAAGAGAAGCUUGCGGCUGAUUAGCUUGUUGGUAAGGUAAUGGCUUACCAAGGCGACGAUCAGUAUCUGGUUUGAGAGGACGAUCAGACACACUGGAACUGAGACACGGUCCAGACUCCUACGGGAGGCAGCAGUGGGGAAUUUUCCGCAAUGGGCGAAAGCCUGACGGAGCAAUACCGCGUGAGGGAUGAAUGCCUAUGGGUUGUAAACCUCUUUUUCCAGGGAGGAACAAAAUGACGUGUACCUGAAGAAUAAGCAUCGGCUAACUCCGUGCCAGCAGCCGCGGUAAGACGGAGGAUGCAAGUGUUAUCCGGAAUCACUGGGCGUAAAGCGUCUGUAGGUGGUUUAAUAAGUCAACUGUU
Molecule: ribosomal RNA, 555 nt
Filed under: uncultured cyanobacterium
Lineage: Bacteria; Bacillati; Cyanobacteriota
Description: bacterial SSU rRNA
Rfam family: Bacterial small subunit ribosomal RNA
Source: RNAcentral